ACCUUCAGUAACGGCGAGUGAAGCGGUAACAGCUCAAAUUUGAAAGCUAGCUCUUCUAGGGUUCGCAUUGUAAUUUGUAGAAGAUGCUUCGGGUGUGGCCCCGGUCUAAGUUCCUUGGAACAGGACGUCAUAGAGGGUGAGAAUCCCGUAUGUGACUGGGUGCUUUCGCUCAUGUGAAGCUCUUUCGACGAGUCGAGUUGUUUGGGAAUGCAGCUCAAAAUGGGUGGUAAAUUUCAUCUAAAGCUAAAUAUUGGCCAGAGACCGAUAGCGCACAAGUAGAGUGAUCGAAAGAUGAAAAGCACUUUGGAAAGAGAGUUAAACAGUACGUGAAAUUGUUGAAAGGGAAGCGCUUGCAACCAGACUUGCGCGCUGAUGAUCAUCCGGGCUUCUGCCCGGUGCACUCGUCUGCGCUCAGGCCAGCAUCGGUUUCGGUGGUGGGAUAAAGGCCUUGGGAAUGUAGCUUCUUUCGGGGAGUGUUAUAGCCCUCGGUGCAAUGCCGCCUACCGGGACCGAGGACCGCGCUUCGGCUAGGAUGCUGGCGUAAUGGUUGUAAGCGACCCGUCUUGAAACACGGACCAAGGAGUCUAACAUCUAUGCGAGUGUUUGGGUGUCAAACCCAUACGCGUAAUGAAAGUGAACGGAGGUGAGAACCCUUAAGGGUGCAUCAUCGACCGAUCCUGAUGUCUUCGGAUGGAUUUGAGUAAGAGCAUAGCUGUUGGGACCCGAAAGAUGGUGAACUAUGCGUGAAUAGGGUGAAGCCAGAGGAAACUCUGGUGG
This 777-nucleotide ribosomal RNA is filed under the name Cadophora prunicola. Its description in RNAcentral is "partial large subunit ribosomal RNA". It matches the Rfam family "Eukaryotic large subunit ribosomal RNA", at positions 77 to 870 of the family's 3401-position model. Lineage: Eukaryota; Fungi; Ascomycota; Leotiomycetes; Helotiales; Ploettnerulaceae. The record is from RNAcentral.